CCUACGGGCGGCUGCAGUGGGGAAUAUUGGACAAUGGGGGGAACCCUGAUCCAGCCAUGCCGCGUGUGUGAAGAAGGCCCUCGGGUUGUAAAGCACUUUCAGUGAGGAAGAACGCCUGGUGGUUAAUACCCAUCAGGAAAGACAUUACUCACAGAAGAAGCACCGGCUAACUCCGUGCCAGCAGCCGCGGUAAUACGGAGGGUGCGAGCGUUAAUCGGAAUUACUGGGCGUAAAGCGCGCGUAGGUGGCUUGAUAAGCCGGUUGUGAAAGCCCCGGGCUCAACCUGGGAACGGCAUCCGGAACUGUCAAGCUAGAGUGCAGGAGAGGAAGGUAGAAUUCCCGGUGUAGCGGUGAAAUGCGUAGAGAUCGGGAGGAAUACCAGUGGCGAAGGCGGCCUUCUGGACUGACACUGACACUGAGGUGCGAAAGCGUGGGUAGCAAACAGGAUUAGAUACCCCAGUAGUC
This 465-nucleotide ribosomal RNA is filed under the name Vreelandella stevensii. RNAcentral's name for it is "partial 16S ribosomal RNA". It matches the Rfam family "Bacterial small subunit ribosomal RNA", at positions 338 to 795 of the family's 1533-position model. The record is from RNAcentral. Lineage: Bacteria; Pseudomonadati; Pseudomonadota; Gammaproteobacteria; Oceanospirillales; Halomonadaceae.